UUAACUAUAAAACUUUAAAAUUAAUUUUCCCGAAAUUAGAGGAUCUAAGUUACUAUCUUAUAUAGUAAAUAAAAAUUAAUGUUUCAAAAUUAAUAUUAAAUGUUAACUUAGGGGUGAAAGGCCUAUCAAUUCUACAGGUAUCUGGUUAAACUUUAAAUGUAUUUAGUACAGAAUAAAAUUUGAAUUAAAAAAUGUUGAGAUUUUUUAAAGUUAGUUGAAUAUAUGAAUUUUUAAAUAUUUAAGGAUAAGUCCUACAUAGAAUAAUAUAAUAAAAAUUAAUAACAAUAUUUUAUCUCUUUAAUAAAGUUUUAUUUUUAAAAAUUGUUACUUAAAAAUUGAUAAUGUUAAAAUUAGUAUUAUUUUAAUAUAAAAUUAAGGAACUCGGCAAAUAAAAUACUCAACUGUUUAUCAAAAACAUAGCGUUAUGAAAUAAAUAUAAGGUUAAACCUGCCCUAUGAUUAACUAUUAAAUGGCCGCAGUACUUUGACUGUGCUAAGGUAGCAUAAUAAAUUGACUUUUAAUUGGGGCCUUGAAUGAAAGGUAAUAUGGGUAGUUACUGUCUUAGUUUUAUUAAUAAAAAGUUACUUAAAAGGUGAAAAUUCCUUUAAGAUAUUUUAAGAGACGAGAAGACCCUAGGAGUUUGCUUAAUAUAUUUUGUUGGGGCGACACUACAACAUUAGAACUUGUAGAAAAAUGUUAUAUAUAAAACGAAAAAUUUUAAUUUUAAUUAAACUACCCUAGGGAUAACAGCAUAAUUUUAUUUUAAGUUUGUGACCUCGAUGUUGGACUAGGGACUUUUAAUAUUAACAAUAUUAAAAAUUUGUUCUGUUCGAACAUUUAUCCCUACAUGAUCUGAGUUCAGACCGGCGUA
This 871-nucleotide ribosomal RNA is filed under the name Lehmannia marginata. RNAcentral's name for it is "partial large subunit ribosomal RNA". The stretch from base 357 to 606 matches the Rfam family "Archaeal large subunit ribosomal RNA", at positions 1786 to 2143 of the family's 2987-position model. The record is from RNAcentral. Lineage: Eukaryota; Metazoa; Mollusca; Gastropoda; Stylommatophora; Limacidae.